Molecule: long non-coding RNA, 330 nt
Organism: Rhipicephalus microplus (southern cattle tick)
Lineage: Eukaryota; Metazoa; Arthropoda; Arachnida; Ixodida; Ixodidae
Source: RefSeq, a predicted model, not a curated record
CCUAUUUUACACACUUUUUGUGCAGCUGUGGGCACACACCAUGCUGAAGACUGUGUGCGCUGGCGUCUGCGAUGCCUGUCUUCCACCUAUUUUGUCAGAGGAGCUUCAGAAGGACUGUGCGAGAUGUGAAGCCGUGGGAAGACAACCGGCCGAAGGCUGCGUGCGCUGGCGUCUGCAAUGCCUGUCAUGUAUCGCUUCCAUCGGGGGAGCUCCACAAGAAGUGAACAAGAUGUGACAACGAGACUGGACUUGUACACUUUACCAUGAAUUCGCUUAGCACAAUGAAGAAACUUCAUUUGUAUGUAAAAAAAAGAUUUUGAUGUUUCACAA